AGUGAACGCUGGCGGUAGGCCUAACACAUGCAAGUCGAACGGCAGCACAGUAAGAGCUUGCUCUUACGGGUGGCGAGUGGCGGACGGGUGAGGAAUACAUCGGAAUCUACUUUUUCGUGGGGGAUAACGUAGGGAAACUUACGCUAAUACCGCAUAUGACCUACGGGUGAAAGCAGUGGAUCUUCGCACCUUGCGCGACUGAAUGAGCCGAUGUCGGAUUAGCUAGUUGGCGGGGUAAAGGCCCACCAAGGCGACGAUGCGUAGCUGGUCUGAGAGGAUGAUCGGCCACACUGGAACUGAGACACGGUCCAGACUCCUACGGGAGGCAGCAGUGGGGAAUAUUGGGCAAUGGGCGCAAGCCUGAUGCAGCCAUACCGCGUGAGUGAAGAAGGCCUUCGGGUUGUAAAGCUCUUUUGUUGGGGAAGAAAAGCAGCAGGAUAAUACCCCGCUGUUCUGACGGUACCUAAAGAAUAAGCACCGGCUAACUACGUG
This 492-nucleotide ribosomal RNA is filed under the name uncultured bacterium. Its description in RNAcentral is "partial 16S ribosomal RNA". It matches the Rfam family "Bacterial small subunit ribosomal RNA", at positions 29 to 507 of the family's 1533-position model. The record is from RNAcentral.